Molecule: ribosomal RNA, 207 nt
Filed under: uncultured bacterium
Lineage: Bacteria
Description: partial 16S ribosomal RNA
Rfam family: Archaeal small subunit ribosomal RNA
Source: RNAcentral
UACCAGCACCCCGAGUGGUCGGGACGUUUAUUGGGCCUAAAGCAUCCGUAGCCGGUUCUAACAAGUCUUCCGUUAAAUCCAACUGCUUAACAGGUGGGCUGCGGAAGAUACUAUAGAGCUAGGAGGCGGGAGAGGCAAGCGGUACUUAGGUGGGUAGGGGUAAAAUCCGUUGGAUCCAUUGAAGACCACCAGUGGCGAAGGCGGCUU